UACGGAGGGGGCUAGCGUUGUUCGGAAUUACUGGGCGUAAAGGGUUUGUAGGUGGCCAACUAAGUCAGACGUGAAAUCCCUCGGCUUAACCGGGGAACUGCGUCUGAUACUGGAUGGCUUGAGUGUGGGAGAGGGAUGCGGAAUUCCAGGUGUAGCGGUGAAAUGCGUAGAUAUCUGGAGGAACACCGGUGGCGAAGGCGGCAUCCUGGACCACGACUGACGCUGAGUGAGCGAAAGCCAGGGGAGCAAACGGG
Molecule: ribosomal RNA, 254 nt
Filed under: uncultured bacterium
Lineage: Bacteria
Description: partial 16S ribosomal RNA
Rfam family: Bacterial small subunit ribosomal RNA
Source: RNAcentral